GAUGAACGCUGGCGGCGUGCUUAACACAUGCAAGUCGAACGGAAAGGCCCAAGCUUGCUUGGGUACUCGAGUGGCGAACGGGUGAGUAACACGUGGGUGAUCUGCCCUGCACUUCGGGAUAAGCCUGGGAAACUGGGUCUAAUACCGGAUAGGACGAUGGUUUGGAUGCCAUUGUGGAAAGUUUUUUCGGUGUGGGAUGAGCUCGCGGCCUAUCAGCUUGUUGGUGGGGUAAUGGCCUACCAAGGCGUCGACGGGUAGCCGGCCUGAGAGGGUGUACGGCCACAUUGGGACUGAGAUACGGCCCAGACUCCUACGGGAGGGAGCAGUGGGGAAUAUUGCACAAUGGGCGCGAGCCUGAUGCAGCGACGCCGCGUGGGGGAUGACGGCCUUCGGGUUGGAAACUCCUUUCGCUAGGGACGAAGCGUUUUUGUGACGGUACCUGGAGAAGAAGCACCGGCUAACUACGG
This 467-nucleotide ribosomal RNA is filed under the name uncultured bacterium. RNAcentral's name for it is "partial 16S ribosomal RNA". It matches the Rfam family "Bacterial small subunit ribosomal RNA", at positions 28 to 506 of the family's 1533-position model. The record is from RNAcentral.